GAUGAACGCUGGCGGCGUGCCUAAUACAUGCAAGUCGAGCGAACAGACGAGGAGCUUGCUCCUCUGACGUUAGCGGCGGACGGGUGAGUAACACGUGGAUGACCUACCUAUAAGACUGGGAUAACUUCGGGAAACCGGAGCUAAUACCGGAUAAUAUAUUGAACCGCAUGGUUCAAUAGUGAAAGACGGUUUUGCUGUCACUUAUAGAUGGAUCCGCGCCGCAUUAGCUAGUUGGUAAGGUAACGGCUUACCAAGGCAACGAUGCGUAGCCGACCUGAGAGGGUGAUCGGCCACACUGGAACUGAGGCACGGUCCAGACUCCUACGGGAGGCAGCAGUAGGGAAUCUUCCGCAAUGGGCGAAAGCCUGACGGAGCAACGCCGCGUGAGUGAUGAAGGUCUUCGGAUCGUAAAACUCUGUUAUUAGGGAAGAACAAAUGUGUAAGUAACUAUGCACGUCUUGACGGUACCUAAUCAGAAAGCCACGGCUAACUACGUG
Molecule: ribosomal RNA, 497 nt
Filed under: uncultured bacterium
Lineage: Bacteria
Description: partial 16S ribosomal RNA
Rfam family: Bacterial small subunit ribosomal RNA
Source: RNAcentral